UCGUGACACCACGACGUCUGUUGCUGGCAUAAAGCUAAUCUACUUUAAGUGCAGUUCAAAUAUUGUGCGCAAUGUGGAAUUAGUUGGAAGGAACGUUUUAAAAUAGGUGGUUCAGGUUUGAGAAUAUGCAUCGUGAAUUUUAAGUCUAGAUUUUUGUGAAGUGUCAUGGAUUUCAAAAUGAUGUUUUGAUAAGUGUCAUUCCGUGCUAGGUCAACAGGUGUGGAACCAUUCACGACCAGUUUCUACGAUUUGACAUUUUAAUCCCGUUGUGUGGUUACAUCAUACCCAUGUGCAAAUAUUGAUUAAAUACAUAUUUAAACAAUGAAAUAAAAACAGUCAUUUUCGUCAUGU
Molecule: long non-coding RNA, 351 nt
Organism: Helicoverpa zea (corn earworm)
Lineage: Eukaryota; Metazoa; Arthropoda; Insecta; Lepidoptera; Noctuidae
Exons: 2
Source: RefSeq, a predicted model, not a curated record